AAAUAGAACUUUGCAGAGAGAGUUAACAGGGCGUGAAACCGUUAAUUGGCAAACGAAUCGGAGCCACGAAGUCGUUUCGCUGAUUAGUUGGGCCAAGUUCAGUCCAAGAUCGCAAGAUUUUGGGUGUAUUCUUGUAGUCCAACCUAACAUUGUAAACGUACACUGCAACCAGUUAGACGAUUGGCGAUGGGCCCAGCUGGUUGGGGAGCAAUCCCCGGCUAGCGCAGCUAUUGUCCGUUUGAGCCAGCAGCAGCUUGGUGCGCCUCGGCGUAUGCGAGUUGUUGGGCGCAGGCGGGAGAACUAUCGCCAAACACUGACUGGCAAAAUAAAAAUCACUCGCAGAGUGUUUGAAUAGAACGCGGCCGUCCACAUGGGUGUCCACAUGCUUGACCGUUUGGCUUAAGCUCAGCAUUUUUAAAUUCAAACUUGCUUGCUACCAGUGGGGCAACUCCUGGUGCUUGUAUUGCUUUGUCUAAUUGGGUGUUGACUUGGUUAGGCGUCGUUCGAGCAUGCAACGAUCGGGCGCCUAUGUGAGGUGGUUCGCAAUCAUUGGCAGUGAGUAGGUCGGCUUUCCGAACGACCCGUCUUGAAACACGGACCAAGGAGUCUAAUUAGGCAUCAAGUCGAUCGGUCUUGAUUAGGCCAGAUUGGGGAGUUCGUCUCCCCGCUUGAAGGCGUAGAGAAAUCAAAUCAUGUGAUCGCGUGAGCAACAACAGCUUGCGCGCGCAACAUGUGCCUGCUCGUGUGGCAAUGUUAGCAAUAACUUGCCGGGCGGAGUAAAGAGAUGCCUGAUUGGUACC
RNAcentral lists this ribosomal RNA (800 nucleotides) under Acaphylla theavagrans. Its description in RNAcentral is "partial 28S ribosomal RNA". It matches the Rfam family "Eukaryotic large subunit ribosomal RNA", at positions 366 to 816 of the family's 3401-position model. The record is from RNAcentral. Lineage: Eukaryota; Metazoa; Arthropoda; Arachnida; Trombidiformes; Eriophyidae.